UGCAGUCGACGAUGAAGCCCUUCGGGGUGGAUUAGUGGCGAACGGGUGAGUAACACGUGGGCAAUCUGCCCUUCACUCUGGGACAAGCCCUGGAAACGGGGUCUAAUACCGGAUAACACCGGCCUCCGCAUGGAGGCUGGUUGAAAGCUCCGGCGGUGAAGGAUGAGCCCGCGGCCUAUCAGCUUGUUGGUGGGGUAAUGGCCUACCAAGGCGACGACGGGUAGCCGGCCUGAGAGGGCGACCGGCCACACUGGGACUGAGACACGGCCCAGACUCCUACGGGAGGCAGCAGUGGGGAAUAUUGCACAAUGGGCGAAAGCCUGAUGCAGCGACGCCGCGUGAGGGAUGACGGCCUUCGGGUUGUAAACCUCUUUCAGCAGGGAAGAAGCGAAAGUGACGGUACCUGCAGAAGAAGCGCCGGCUAACUACGUGCCAGCAGCCGCGGUAAUACGUAGGGCGCAAGCGUUGUCCGGAAUUAUUGGGCGUAAAGAGCUCGUAGGCGGCUUGUCACGUCGGGUGUGAAAGCCCGGGGCUUAACCCCGGGUCUGCAUCCGAUACGGGCAGGCUAGAGUGUGGUAGGGGAGAUCGGAAUUCCUGGUGUAGCGGUGAAAUGCGCAGAUAUCAGGAGGAACACCGGUGGCGAAGGCGGAUCUCUGGGCCAUUACUGACGCUGAGGAGCGAAAGCGUGGGGAGCGAACAGGAUUAGAUACCCUGGUAGUCCACGCCGUAAACGUUGGGAACUAGGUGUUGGCGACAUUCCACGGUCGUCGGGUGCCGCAGCUAACGCAUUAAGUUCCCCCGCCUGGGGGAGUACGGGCCGCAAAGGUAAAAACUCCAAAGGAAUUUGAC
Molecule: ribosomal RNA, 849 nt
Filed under: Streptomyces gardneri
Lineage: Bacteria; Bacillati; Actinomycetota; Actinomycetes; Kitasatosporales; Streptomycetaceae
Description: bacterial SSU rRNA
Rfam family: Bacterial small subunit ribosomal RNA
Source: RNAcentral